This 460-nucleotide ribosomal RNA is filed under the name uncultured bacterium. Its description in RNAcentral is "partial 16S ribosomal RNA". It matches the Rfam family "Bacterial small subunit ribosomal RNA", at positions 338 to 795 of the family's 1533-position model. The record is from RNAcentral.
CCUACGGGUGGCAGCAGUGAGGAAUAUUAGUCAAUGGGCGCGAGCCUGAACCAGCCAAGUAGCGUGAAGGAUGACUGCCCUACGGGUUGUAAACUUCUUUUAUAAAGGAAUAAAGUGAGGCACGUGUGCCUUUUUGUAUGUACUGUAUGAAUAAGGAUCGGCUAACUCCGUGCCAGCAUCCUCGGUAAUACGGAGGCAACGGGCGUUAUCCGGAUUUAUUGGGUUUAAAGGGAGCGUAGAUGGGGUGUUAAGUUUGUUGUGAGAGUUAGCGGCUCAACCGUAAAAUUGCAAUUGGUACUGGCAGUCUGGAGUACAGGUGAGGGAGGCGGAAUUCGGGGUGUAGCGGUGAAAUGCUUAGAUAUCACGAAGAACUCCGAGUGCGAAGGCAGCUUACUAAACUGCCACUGACAUUGAUGCUCGAAGGUGUGGGUAUCAAACAGGAUUAGAUACCCGGGUAGUC